RNAcentral lists this signal recognition particle RNA (98 nucleotides) under Sulfurimonadaceae bacterium. Its description in RNAcentral is "signal recognition particle sRNA small type". It matches the Rfam family "Bacterial small signal recognition particle RNA". Rfam says of the family: The signal recognition particle (SRP) is a universally conserved ribonucleoprotein involved in the co-translational targeting of proteins to membranes. Archaeal SRP consists of a 7S RNA and homologues of the eukaryotic SRP19 and SRP54 proteins. In most bacteria, the SRP consists of a 4.5S RNA and the Ffh protein (a homologue of the eukaryotic SRP54 protein). Lineage: Bacteria; Pseudomonadati; Campylobacterota; Epsilonproteobacteria; Campylobacterales; Sulfurimonadaceae. The record is from RNAcentral.
CCUUUAGACCUGUGCAAUGGCAUUGCGGGGUAAUGUGUCAGGGUAGGAAUACAGCAGCACACUCCGUCUUGUUAUGUGCCGCAGGUAUCUGGAGGGGA